RNAcentral lists this ribosomal RNA (253 nucleotides) under uncultured bacterium. RNAcentral's name for it is "partial 16S ribosomal RNA". It matches the Rfam family "Bacterial small subunit ribosomal RNA", at positions 524 to 776 of the family's 1533-position model. The record is from RNAcentral.
UACGAAGGGGGCUAGCGUUGCUCGGAAUCACUGGGCGUAAAGCGCACGUAGGCGGAUUGUUAAGUCAGGGGUGAAAUCCUGGAGCUCAACUCCAGAACUGCCUUUGAUACUGGCGAUCUCGAGUCCGGGAGAGGUGAGUGGAACUGCGAGUGUAGAGGUGAAAUUCGUAGAUAUUCGCAAGAACACCAGUGGCGAAGGCGGCGAUCUGGGCAGACACCGACGCUGAGGUGCGAAAGCGUGGGGAGCAAACAGG